AAAGAAUUAGUUAAUUUAUAACCUUAGCUUGUCAAGCUAAAAUAACUAGCCUUAAUCUAGUACUCUUUA
Molecule: transfer RNA, 69 nt
Filed under: Kamimuria chungnanshana
Lineage: Eukaryota; Metazoa; Arthropoda; Insecta; Plecoptera; Perlidae
Description: tRNA-Asp
Source: RNAcentral